RNA transcript from Hylaeus anthracinus, 2022 nucleotides. It is a transcript of the gene named nuclear pore complex protein Nup58, with no coding region annotated. NCBI's taxonomy places the organism in Eukaryota, Metazoa, Arthropoda, Insecta, Hymenoptera, Colletidae. The transcript is spliced from 8 exons. The record is from RefSeq and is a predicted model, not a curated record.
AGAAUCUAACCUAAAAACGCCAAAGUUUCGUCCCUACAACUGCAAGUUGUAAGUGUACUCCAACUCCAAUGUGACUUUGUGACGAUAUAUUUACGCUUCGAUCAGAUUGAACAAGUUUUGUUUAAUAUAUACGUAAAGAUUUCAUAUUUUAAAAGCAAAGUGUAUUUACUUGAUCUACAAUUCCUCGAAAAGCAUGUCGACAUUUACUUUUGGAUCGCCUUCGACAACAAACAAUACAAACUUCGGAUUUGGACAAAAACCAGCAACAGGUUUUAAUUUAACUAGCGUACCAUUUGGUUCGACUACACCCGCAUCUACGCUGUCUUUUGGAGCUUCCACGAUACCAGCAACAACUAGUAGUCUAAGUUUUGGGUUCAAUAGCACCCCUGGAAUUUCCACCCAAGCACAAUCGAGCAACCUAGUUUUAGGAUCUAAUGUAGCAGCCACAACAACUGCUACUAGUUUAUUUCCAACUGCUACUACUAGCACGUCGCUAUUCAGCAAUCUUUCUUUUGGGGCACCUGCAGCAAGUACUAGUUUAACAUUUGGUACUCCAAGUAAUACAUCUACCACUGGGAAUCUUACAUUUAGCGCACCUACUACUACAACACCACUUUUUGGUGGAUCUAUUACCAGUGGUGGUUUAUUAGGAUCCAAGCCACUUACCAGUACUAGUGUUACAACCACCACGAAUAAAGGCCUAGGAGGUUUAGAUGUAUCGGUAAGCAAUAAAGGUCUUUCGCAAGGAAGCAAUAGUCCAGCUACUACUAAAGACAAUGUUUGGCCACCGGAAUUAAUGCAGACAAUAGACAAAUUCAAAGAGUUUGUGAAAGAACAGAAGGUGUUGUCUUCGGAUAUAGCAAGGGGUUCUGCGAGACCGCUAAAUCGAUGCGCAGAAGAUACAACUUUGUUAAUGGAAAUGUUAACGACGUUAGCUGGUUCUGUCCAAAGAGAUCGUUCUUCGGCUGAUAAAUUAAAGCAAGAUACAGCGAGAGCAUUACAAAACGCAGAAAUAGCACAAAGGACACACGAUACUCCAUUAGGAUUACAAUAUGAAAAUAACGCGCCAUUGUUAUUUUUCAUGGAAUUAGUUGAUAAUUUUGAACACGAUUUAAUGCUGUUUAGGUCUCAAAUUGAAACAACAGAGAAGCAUAUACAAGCAAUGAUGACUCCGAAAACUUUAACACCGCAAGAAUUAACAAUGGCUAUGAGUAAACUUCACGAGUCCCUGGUAGCUGUUGCUGGUAAAUUACAAGGAGUGCAUUCUAAAGUACAGCAACACAAGGAACAGUAUCUGAAUUUUAGGAAGUAUGUUUUGAAAGACAAUACAAAUGUUUUCGAAGAUGUUAAAACGGACGGGAAAACAUUUCGACAUAACUUCGGAAAAAUUACAAGUGGUCCGACUCCAUUUGGACCUGGAAACAAAAGCUUUCUUUCGUCGACAGCUUUGAACUCUAACAGACCGGGAACUUACGAAACUCGAAAUCCAUUAGGAAAAGAGUAAGGGGUCUAUUUUAGUUUGCGAGGUAUUCAAUUUUUUACUUAGACUUCUUGUGUUGUCAUUUGUGGGAAGGGAUACCAAAGCUUGCGUAUCUAACACGUAUUACUUACAUAAGAAAACAUAUCUAUUAUUGUAAUAAUGACGGAAUAAAUGUUUUUCUUCUCUUUUUGUAAUAUCCAUUACAAAAUAGGAAUGUACGAAGAAAAAUUGAAACCUUAAUUGAGGAAUGCUUAUUAAGGAAUGGCUGUGUUUUAUAUGCGCUUAAAUUGCUUCUGUCGUCUUGGUGAUUAUGAAAGCGUUCGCGUCGACUCGAGUGUAUAAUAUUUCAUAGAACAUAUGGGAUUUGUGUCGUGCAUAAAAACCUUCCUAAUAUUUUAUGGGUACAUUUGGGGAAAUGCGAUACCAACAUCAUCUGCUACUAACAUUAAUCUAGGCCCAUCAUUGAAACCGCCAACUGCAAGUUUGACUUUUAAUAUUCCAACAAACCUUACUGCACCUUUACCAACAAGCGAGUCGAGUAC